GGGCCUACGGGGCGCAGCAGUAGGGAAUCUUCCACAAUGGACGAAAGUCUGAUGGAGCAACGCCGCGUGAGUGAAGAAGGGUUUCGGCUCGUAAAGCUCUGUUGGUAGGGAAGAAAGAUAGAGGUAGUAACUGGCCUUUAUUUGACGGUAAUUACUUAGAAAGUCACGGCUAACUACGUGCCAGCAGUCGCGGUAAUACGUAAGUGGCAAGCGUUGUCCGGGUUUAUUGGGCGUAAAAC
This 239-nucleotide ribosomal RNA is filed under the name uncultured bacterium. RNAcentral's name for it is "partial 16S ribosomal RNA". It matches the Rfam family "Bacterial small subunit ribosomal RNA", at positions 335 to 566 of the family's 1533-position model. The record is from RNAcentral.